AAAACAAUUUACGCACAUAAAAAUCUCAAUUCAUAAACUAAAUAUAAAAAGAAAAUACAGUAUAAAAUAUGAAUCCAUCACAAAUGUUUAUUAAUAUGCCAUUUCAACUUAAAAUGAAAGAAGAAUAGAAAAAAAAUAAAAAACAUAAAAAAAAAUCACGAGGAGGUAGAAGAGAACUCAUUCUUAAAUAAGUCUCUCUUUACUCGGAUAAUACAUGAGAAAAAUGAUGUCAAGUGACAAUUGAUGACUGACUAGUUUCUAGACAUUAAAGUGAAAGUUGAUGAUCAACUAGCUUCCGG
This 299-nucleotide long non-coding RNA is filed under the name Manihot esculenta (cassava). RNAcentral's name for it is "long non-coding RNA (MESC_LNC003532)". Lineage: Eukaryota; Viridiplantae; Streptophyta; Magnoliopsida; Malpighiales; Euphorbiaceae. The record is from RNAcentral.